This is a long non-coding RNA of Drosophila mojavensis, 1249 nucleotides long. RefSeq lists it as uncharacterized. The transcript is spliced from 3 exons. The record is from RefSeq and is a predicted model, not a curated record. NCBI's taxonomy places the organism in Eukaryota, Metazoa, Arthropoda, Insecta, Diptera, Drosophilidae.
GUGGGUGGAGUUGACUGUCAGAUCGCAUUCAGCAUUGUUCCAUUGGCCUAAAUUUGAGUUGCAGGCAAUCCAAGUGCGUUCGAUAACUCCCAAUUUUUCUGACCACCCUCUGGAUUAUUGAGCUGGCCAAAGCACAUAUCAUUAAUCAGUUAAGCGUGCAAUUGAGGUGAACCAAAUUUGCAUCAUUCAAUGGCAAAGUCUUCAUUGAGAAGUGAAGAGCGAAGAUCCAUUAGAGAUAGAUGAUAUAUAGAUGUACAUAAUCACAUACAGCUCCUCACCUGCCCACACCUACCCCGCACUCCCUCACCUGGCCAAAAAAAAAAAAUAAACCUAGUUUAUUGUUCUGUCACGCGCUCGGACAGCGGACAGCGGACAGCGGAUAGCGGCCAACGUCAUCAAGUGGUCUUCUUCUUGUUGUUGUUGUUUCUCUUGUAGUUUUUAGUUUUUAGCUUUACAUUCACUUUUUUUCGCAUCCGCAUCCACUGCUGCUACCGAACCGGACGGGCCUCAAGAAGUGCUCUUCACGGCGCUUUCGGUACUAGCUCUGGUACUGGGUACGAAAAAUACACAUAUUUGUUGUUGUUGUUGCUGUUGUCGUCGCUGCUCCAAGGUUGAGGCAAACUGGUAUCAUCAACAACAGCAACAACAACGACGAGCAGCAAUCAGAGCUGUGAAGAUGAGCAGCAGCAGCAGCAGCAGCAGCAGCAGCAGUCGGCUGUCCAAGACAUAAUCGCAAUAUAGCAACAAUCUGAGUUGCUAUCGCAGUCGGCGUCGCAGUCAACGCCGACGUCGGCACGAGUCUCUAUGCAUUAAUUACUGACCAUAACCAUAACCAUAACCGUAUAGCCAUAUAGCCAUAUCCAUAUCCAUUUCGGCCAUAGUGAAGCAGCCUCUUAACAAAUUAGAAGCCUUUCGCUUGGCUUAAAAGAAACCUCAUUGUCUUAGCGCUUAGGUUUUAGCCUUGAGCUGCUGCCAGAUCGGCCAGAUAAGAGGCUCCACAGAUAACGCAAUAAAUGCACUUAACGAAAUUCUAGAGAGAUCCUCAAAUUAAUUACUUCAUAAGAUCUUGCUUUUAUAGUAUAUAUAAGUAUAUAAUUCAUUAGAUACUAAUUUAUAUAUGUACAUAGUGAACUAUACAAUAGUUCAUUGUUGAUCGCGUGAAUUAGCUGUUCAUAUAAUAGAUCAUAAUAAACUAAUUGAUCACUGAUCAGUAUAUCUGUUUAUGCUGAUCGACCAUAGAGUCAUUAAA